This 1006-nucleotide long non-coding RNA is filed under the name Brassica rapa (field mustard). RNAcentral describes it as "long non-coding RNA (BRAP_LNC008042)". Lineage: Eukaryota; Viridiplantae; Streptophyta; Magnoliopsida; Brassicales; Brassicaceae. The record is from RNAcentral.
UCAGGAACAAGCAAAUCAAGAGAAGUCCAAAAAAAAGAAAGGCUCACCAAGAAAAUACAAGCCAAUGUCGUAUAAUAUAUCAAUCUGACGGCAAUUCAGAGACCGUCGAUCAUGCAAAAGGAUGCGACCAGCCAAGGAAUUCUGCAAACACAAUUUCCAAAAUUCAGUCAACAGUCUUGAUCUUUGGUCAAGUCAAUAUUCCUAGUCAAGUCUUCAUAGUUUUAAGAGCUUUAUAGUUUCAAGGAUUGACUAGAUUAUUUAAUUUUACAGAUUGCCUAUUAUAUAAAGGUUUGCUUUGUAUUGUUUUUAUUUAUUCAACCCUUUUAAUAAAAAUCUACUUUUUAAAUUUGUUGAAUCCUUUGUUCUUUGGAACAUCGUAAUGCUACGAGAGUGAUCUCCGUAAGCACGGUCUUGUUCACUAGUGGGGCUGCCUCUCACGGACUAAGACCAACCCAGCAAGUAUCUGGCCUUCCGCAGCCUUAUACUGAAGAACCAUCGAUCCACCUUUCCUUUAAUCCAUCUUUGGGUCAAAGCUUAUCCUUUUCACCAACCUUCGAGUGCAUUCCUUGGGAGAUUUUCUAUUAUUUGGUAUCAGAGCACACUUGAGGGUUCGGUGUUCACUUCUGUCAUUCAUCAUUCUCAUCUUUCCAUCUUCUACAAAAAAAAAAAAAAAAUCCACGAGAAAACAAGAGAUCAUUCCAUCUGAAGUUAAACCGAGACUGCUCCUCCAUCUCUCGUAAUGGCUCUAGGAGAUUACUUCUCCAAAAGCAACCUGUUUGAUCACUAGUGGGGCUGCCUCUCACGGUCACAGGUUCUAAACAUUAAGUCGGAUUUGAGGGCAAAUCCUUUUGAAGGAGGAGGGGAUGAUGUGACCUUGUUCAGGAACAAGCAAAUCAAGAGAAGUCCAAAAAAAGAAAGGCUCACCAAGAAAAUACAAGCCAAUGUCGUAUAAUAUAUCAAUCUGACGGCAAUUCAGAGACCGUCGAUCAUGCAAAAGGAUGCGACC